GACGAACGCUGGCGGCGUGCUUAACACAUGCAAGUCGAACGGAAAGGCUCUUCUUUUGUGGGGUGCUCGAGUGGCGAACGGGUGAGUAACACGUGAGUAACCUGCCCUUGACUUUGGGAUAACUUCAGGAAACUGGGGCUAAUACCGGAUAGGAGCUCCUGCUGCAUGGUGGGGGUUGGAAAGUUUCGGCGGUUGGGGAUGGACUCGCGGCUUAUCAGCUUGUUGGUGGGGUAGUGGCUUACCAAGGCUUUGACGGGUAGCCGGCCUGAGAGGGUGACCGGCCACAUUGGGACUGAGAUACGGCCCAGACUCCUACGGGAGGCAGCAGUGGGGAAUAUUGCACAAUGGGCGGAAGCCUGAUGCAGCAACGCCGCGUGCGGGAUGACGGCCUUCGGGUUGUAAACCGCUUUCGCCUGUGACGAAGCGUGAGUGACGGUAAUGGGUAAAGAAGCACCGGCUAACUACGUG
This 468-nucleotide ribosomal RNA is filed under the name uncultured bacterium. RNAcentral describes it as "partial 16S ribosomal RNA". It matches the Rfam family "Bacterial small subunit ribosomal RNA", at positions 28 to 507 of the family's 1533-position model. The record is from RNAcentral.